UCGAAACCUGCCCAACAGAUCGACCCGCGAACGUGUUCAAAAAACGAGGGGCCUAGAGCCAGCUUUUGCCAGCAUUGGCCCCUCACUAGGUCUCGAUUGGGUGAUUAGGGAGCGCGGGCCUAGCCCCCCCUAUAUCCCUCGAUCUUGGCCGUCUAACAAACCCCCGGCGCGGAAAGCGCCAAGGAAGUACAAAACAAAAUUAACGGCCGCCCCGAUUGCCCCGGAAACGGUGUGCUAAGGGAUGUGUUGUGAUUUGAGAUUCUAAAUGACUCUCGGCAACGGAUAUCUCGGCUCUCGCAUCGAUGAAGAACGCAGCGAAAUGCGAUACUUGGUGUGAAUUGCAGGAUCCCGCGAACCAUCGAGUUUUUGAACGCAAGUUGCGCCCGAAGCCUUUUGGCCGAGGGCACGUCUGCCUGGGUGUCACUCAACCGUCGCCCCAACCCCUUCCUCUUUGGAAGGGCUGUAAGCUGGGCGGAAAAUGGCCUCCCGUUUGCUUCUCGCAUGUGGUUGGCCCAAAUGUCCGGUCCUCGGCAUCGUCGCCACGGCAAUCGGUGGUUGUACGACCCUCGCUUAAUGCUGUGAGCGUUUGGGUGCUGUUGCGACCUAUAAGGCCCCAAAGCGCAUCGAAAGACAUGCUCGCAAUGCGACC
This 649-nucleotide ribosomal RNA is filed under the name Euphorbia pondii. Its description in RNAcentral is "eukaryotic LSU rRNA". The stretch from base 268 to 423 matches the Rfam family "5.8S ribosomal RNA". Lineage: Eukaryota; Viridiplantae; Streptophyta; Magnoliopsida; Malpighiales; Euphorbiaceae. The record is from RNAcentral.